Molecule: long non-coding RNA, 288 nt
Filed under: Vigna radiata
Lineage: Eukaryota; Viridiplantae; Streptophyta; Magnoliopsida; Fabales; Fabaceae
Description: long non-coding RNA (VRAD_LNC013454)
Source: RNAcentral
AAGGAGAGAGAGGGUGAUAAUGUCACAAUUCCAGCACUUGUGACCGGGUAUGUAACUCCAUUUGCAUUUGCAAUGCAAAUCCUACAUGGUGGGGUUGAAAAGGAGAAGUCCGUGGGAUCAAAAGUCAUAUGGUCUGUUGCCCUAGAGUCAAUAAUCCAUGCACUUGCAUCCUGAGAAUUAGAACUACAAAAAAACUUGACCGCAAUUACCUGGUUCCAUUGAGACAGAGGAGCUAGUCAUAAGAACAAGCGACAAUCGAGACUCGGCAGUGACUACCGCAGCUUUACC